UACGGAGGGGCUAGCGUUGUUCGGAAUUACUGGGCGUAAAGCGCGCGUAGGCGGACCUGCAAGUCGGGGUGAAAGCCCGAGGCUCAACCUCGGAACUGCCUUCGAAUACUGCGGGUCUCGAGUCCGGGAGAGGUGAGUGGAAUUCCUAGUGUAGAGGUGAAAUUCGUAGAUAUUAGGAAGAACACCAGUGGCGAAGGCGGCUCACUGGCCCGGUACUGACGCUGAGGCGCGAAAGCGUGGGAGCAAACAGG
This 251-nucleotide ribosomal RNA is filed under the name uncultured bacterium. Its description in RNAcentral is "partial 16S ribosomal RNA". It matches the Rfam family "Bacterial small subunit ribosomal RNA", at positions 524 to 776 of the family's 1533-position model. The record is from RNAcentral.